UACGUAGGGUGCGAGCGUUGUCCGGAAUUAUUGGGCGUAAAGAGCUCGUAGGUGGUUUGUCGCGUUGUCCGUGAAAACUCACAACUCAAUUGUGGGCGUGCGGGCGAUACGGGCAGACUGGAGUACUGCAGGGGAGACUGGAAUUCCUGGUGUAGCGGUGGAAUGCGUAGAUAUCAGGAGGAACACCGGUGGCGAAGGCGGAUCUCUGGGCCAUUACUGACGCUGAGGAGCGAAAGCGUGGGGAGCGAACAGG
RNAcentral lists this ribosomal RNA (253 nucleotides) under uncultured bacterium. Its description in RNAcentral is "partial 16S ribosomal RNA". It matches the Rfam family "Bacterial small subunit ribosomal RNA", at positions 524 to 776 of the family's 1533-position model. The record is from RNAcentral.